AGGUGGGAGGAUUGCUUGAGCCUGGGAGAUGGAGGCUGCAGUGAGUUGUGGUCACACCACUGCACUGCAGCCUGGGCAACAGAGUGAGACCCUGUCU
RNAcentral lists this microRNA precursor (97 nucleotides) under Aotus nancymaae (Ma's night monkey). RNAcentral describes it as "miRNA (ENSANAG00000009418.1)". Lineage: Eukaryota; Metazoa; Chordata; Mammalia; Primates; Aotidae. The record is from RNAcentral.